CCGUUGCUUUCUGCCGCCUCCCUCCACCCCCACCCCUCUACCACUGCCACACGCACCCACCCAUACAAACUGGACCGCUUUCAGUGCUUUGGAGGAGGCCGAACACACACGCAGAGAACUCGGUUUACACACACACACACACACACACACACACACACACACACACACACACACAUCUGCUCAUCCGUGUGCGCCCCACGCGCGAACCGGCUUGAGUAGCCAUCCUAAUUGCCAUCAGUGCCUCACCCCUCACUCGCGUCUUAGUUGUGGUUCCCCACCAACCUCGACUCCCUUCCUCAGCACCAUUACUUGUCCUUUCUCGCUCCAUCUUGCGCGCAUCAUCAAUCAUCGACAGUCGCCAUCGCUCUCUCCUCACCCACUGGCACCGCCAUGGCGACCUCCACUAGCGAGUUUACCGAGUUUGUACGUGAGUGGGGUGGUCUACUGGCAAAAGACUCAUCGGCGUCGAUGGAUCAUCUCUUCAGCGCAUACGCGAGACUCAAAGAGGCGAACGAACUUGCUAGCAGCGGCAGCAGCAACAGCGAAGGUAGCGGCGAGUCGCCGUUCGGCUCCCCUGUCGCGUCCAUUGAGGACUUCACCGACGUCUGGGCCGCAGCCAAGCGCGCGAACAAGGAGUGGGAGGCUACGUGCAUGGUGCGCAGCAUACGCCGCUCCAUCGGCGGCUCCGUUACCCAGACUCGGCUGAUGCUCUCCAUGAUCUGCUGGGCCGCCAUGCUGCGGCAAGAAGAGCAGAGAUUCUUCAAGGAGUUCCUUGCACAAGUACGCGAGAUAAUUCACCGCGCUGCUCUGCGCUGCACCGCCUCCGGCUAUGGUGAGGACUCGGAAUCGAUCUACGAGGAAGUUGCAUUUUGUGUCGCUCUCGAGCUGCUUGGGUGGCACGACAGCUUGCUGAUCUGCCUCCAGCGUGCCAUGGCCUCCCCCCCACCUCUGCGCACCGAGGAAGACGUCCUGCUGUUUACCCGAAAGGUAGCCCAAGAGCUCGUAUCAGCCCUCAGUCCGCGCCAAUACAGCACCGACAGCACGCCCGCCAUCACCAUCACCCGCUCGUCGGCGACGAGCAACUCGUUGGAGCACGAGCCGCCCGCGCCUACCGCCGUGGCCGAUACCAGGAACGAAGCGAUGGCGGGAGACGGGGUCGUCGUCAUCUCGAAGAGGCGGUCGCCAUACAAGGAAGGUGCAUCAUCAUUGUCGCGGUGCCGUGGCGAGCACGCGCACACAGCUGGACGCAGUGCCACGAUCAUCUCCAUCGCAGUCCCCCUCCCCACCCCCUCUCCCAGGAAUACCACAGACACCCGAAAACCGUGGCAGGCGGCUUGUGGCACGCUAAGCACGGGCGUAACCCCCUUGCCGACGCCCGCGAGGUCGCCGAUGGGGUCCACAACGCACAGAGAUGCAGCCUCUGCUGCCUUGUCCCCACUGCCACCACCACCGCUGCCCACUCAGCCCUCCCCACCCACGCGUGCUCCACCGCCGCGGUCGCCGAUUAGAGGAUCGCUGGCACCAACCUUAGCUCCCACUCACCGCUCAUCCGCCGCCGUCGCCGCCGACUCUCCAUACAAGGAGUUCGAGAGAGCUCUGCGGGAGGUGUGUUCCUCUCUCACCCGCCCUUCUGCUUGCCAGGAGGACCCGCCACACACGAAGGAUAACGCACGCAGCACGGUCGAGUCCUCAAGCAAGUGAACAAGCACCAAGCUGCGGAUGGGUAAAGAAGAUGAAGGUUGCGCUGUGCUUUAGCGCGCGGCAUAUGAUACGCGCAUCGCAGCGGACGUCAACGCGGGGGGGGCAGGGUGGGAAGCAGUGACGCGGACUAGAGAAAGAGCUUGCACGAACCGCCGAGGCCACCUGCACUUCAGCAGCAUGUAUGCUUGUGUGUGUCGCUCUCCUAGUGACGUCGUGCGACCCUCUUUUCAAUCUCCUCUCUUGUUUCUUGUGCUUCUUUUCGUGCAGACUCGCUUUACUGCGCAAGGCCAGCCGUGAGGGACUGGAGCGGGGUGGAGUGGGGAGAUGGGGGGGAAGUAGAUGAGUCGUGGGCCUCCCCCCUCCCUUCCCCCGUUCUCGCACUGCUGCUCUAUUGUUGGCCGUUGCGCUUCGGUGAACAAUCUACAUUGCUAUCCUUUUUGACCUCUGCCGAUCCGUUGAGAGAGAAAUGCCGCAGCCGGCCUUCUCCCUCUUCCCCUUGUCUGCCUGGUACCUCUGAUUUCUCUCAAGUCCGCAUAGCUUACCUCCGUCGCGGCCACCCCCAUCCUCCCUGCCUCCUUCACCCAGGAACGCACUCGCUCCCACUAACGCAAAUCAUGUACGUCGGUGCAGUAAGUGCGUGCGCGCACGUGGUUUGCUUGCCUAUCUCGGCAAAACAGAGAGGUAACGGGCUACAGGCAGGAGUGGGGCAUUUCUUCGCAAUGCGCGCGCAUACAUGCACGUGUUUGCAUCCGUGUCUGCGUGAUCUAGCACGCUUCGUCAAUGAAAGGCAAGCGUACGCAUAACGGAGACGAUAGAGGGCUUCUCACAAAUAUAAAUGGGAAGCACGGAGCUAGUUGUCUGUCUGUCUCUGCGUGCAUGGGCGAUGCCCGAGGUGGUGGUGGAGGGGAGGGACCACACGAGGGAGGGUGGAUGCAUAACGGCUAGCAAAGGACGUAAACCCACGUAUGCACGUGCGCCCGCCCGCACAAAAGCUGGUAGGGGUUGCUGCGUCUUCUCACGCUGCUCUCCCCACUCGCACAUAGACACGUUUGCAUAUUUGUUCUUUACCGCCUUAUACGCGGAGAGUCGCGCAGCGUGUACGGGGGCAUGCGUGCAGACACAUCCACACACACACACACACACACACACACACACACACACACACACACACACACACACACACACACUACCGGUGAUGUGCGUGGUUGGUGGAGUUGUCAGCUUACCGCUGGUCCCUCAAAUCGAACUUUGCUUUUCCGGUGGUUUUCCUAUUGCCCACUCCCUCUUCUUCCACUUCUUCCUCCUAUUCUUGCUGAGUAUCGGCGGGUGCCGUCACGAAGGCAUGCCCGUGUUUCUGCGUGUCUUGGUAUCAACGUCUCUGUCCGUCUCUUUCUAUGCAUGCCAGCGCCUUCUUGUCGUGGCUCGUCUGCUUUUGUUUGAUUGCGUGUUUUCGUUGCUCGCUCUCUCUUCUCCUUGUUCCUUCUCCAGAUUCUUGGAGCCUGUCUCGGGUUUCACAUCGCCCCCCCCCUCCCCCUCUCCUUCAUGCCUUCUCACUCACAUCGUUCUAGAUUCUUGCUUUUCUUCGUGUACCACUGCUUCUAUCUUUCCACGUUCUCUCUUCCUCUCUCUGAGUCGGUUGCACCGCCGCUGGACGGUGCCGAUUACGGUGCGGGCGGCAGCAGCGCUUUGGCGUUGUCAUUACUGUUUACCUUCGCGGGCGUGGAGAUGCUCAGCCUUGAGACGUCUCUCUCUCCACGUAUCAGCUCCUCUGGUUCUCAUUCUCUCCAUAUUGAUUUGUGCCGUGCUCGUGGUUCUUUUCCAUGGGCUGCCUCACACAUCGCAUCUUCCCCUUUGUGCCGCGCUUCUGCAUCAGCAUGUUCGCACGUUGCUCUUAGUCGCCUUUUUCUUGGUUUUGGUGUAUGCACCCGUGCCCACCGUUUUCCCUUCUCCUCGUCUCUCCUCUGCUUCGCCAGCUCCAGUGCGCGCGCUUACGCGUAUGCGUCCGCAUCGCUCUCGCUCUCCCUCUCACACAUCUUCCCUCUUUGCGAGUGCGCAUUCAGCCGCCCUCCUUCUUUUUUUCUUCGCCGUUGAGCUUCCUCUUGUUGUCGAUUUUUGUGCUCAUGUGUGUGUCUGAGUGCUUGUGUGUGACUGUCCUUAGGUUUCUGUCCUCUCUCACCCGAUGAUGGAGGAAACCCCCUCUCCGUGCGUGGUAUCAACAAGGGUCCAGUGCACCCCCCCCUCCCCACACACACACACUCUCUCUCUCGGGGAGGAAGCCACGCAGCCCCUGGUCCUUGCCAAUGCCAAAGGACUUCCUGGCGGUGACGGCGCCAAGUGCCUAGGACGUGGGGAAGUCAGAGGGAUUCAUUGCGACUCAUGGCGGCGGCGAGGUCGUGGAUGGUGAUGCGUCGGAGCGACCUGCGACCGUGAACACGCUUGUGCCAUCCAUAUGAUGGGCAAAGUGUCCGCGUAACUCGAACGAAUCCCACCCACCCCCGAUUUUCACUGCCCACUGGUAGAGGAGCCUGCGCCACCCCGAAGGGGAUGCACCGGGUGGCGGCGUGGGAAGUGGGUGGGCGGAGCUCGAGUCAGAGGCCGUGCUCAGAUGACUGGGUCGGCGCAUUGCUGCAACGCGUGUGUACGGCUGCUUCGCACCACGCGAUGUGGGGCCUGUGGCAGGCCGGCGGGGGGAUCGAGUGAAGUCUCACUCGUGUUGUAUCGCAGAGAAUGGGCACGCUGAAAACAACAAGGGGGCGCUGUUUGGCGUGUGCGCCGCGCUUUGGGGUAGUUUUGAUGGUGCUAUACACGGAAGUGCGGGCGUGCGUGCGUGCAUGCGUGCGCGUCUCACCUACGAGUUCGUUCGCUUGUUAUCUCUUCCAGUCAACUGCGGCAGCAUGUGCGUGCUCACGCGAGUCCAUACGACCACAGCUGAUGCAGCCCUCGCUUCUCUGCUUGCUGCAUGAAACGUACGCGCACAGGCAAACACCUUUUUCUUCGUCGCACUGUGUAGCCCCUAAAGCGCUCUUUGCCGUGCGCCUUCCCUUUGUUUCUUUCCUUUGGUGAUUGCGGGGGACGCUCGCUGGAAGGCGGAGGUGGGGGAGGGGGCAGCAUUUUAUGUUCGCUCUCUGUCUGUCGGACUCGCUGAUUUUUGCCUCCCCUGCUUAAAAUCUUCCACGGUGUUUGUGCUUGGGCUUCGCGUCUCUAUCAUUCUCACAAAAUUCCUGCUCAAGAAAGGAAUACAGGGCGAAGUCGCCUUCCGUAUGCCGCACAUGUUUUCAUCUAUCUCUGUGCGCCCCUCUCCCUCUCUCGCGCACGCGUGCUUGUGAGUGCGGGACGGUAGAAAAAGGGAGAUGGGGUCUUGUGCUCGAGGGGAUGGUCGCCACUGCUGCAUCUUCGGCAGAAUCUGAGGGUCACGGUAUAAAUGGUGACUUGCAACGUCGACUUUGCCUCUGCAUGUGUACUCUUUCCCCUUUCAUUCUAGACUAGCUAAAUGGGCACUCACGUGAGUGUACUGAUGCUAACGGUGUUGCUGAGAGACUCCGGACACCACCAACAGCUCCUGCACCACCUCCGC
This 5275-nucleotide unclassified non-coding RNA is filed under the name Leishmania donovani. Its description in RNAcentral is "gene:LdHU3.13.0130(CDS-product:hypothetical_prote in_conserved)". Lineage: Eukaryota; Euglenozoa; Kinetoplastea; Trypanosomatida; Trypanosomatidae. The record is from RNAcentral.